Molecule: long non-coding RNA, 1120 nt
Organism: Gasterosteus aculeatus aculeatus (three-spined stickleback)
Lineage: Eukaryota; Metazoa; Chordata; Actinopteri; Perciformes; Gasterosteidae
Source: Ensembl
UUAGAUGUACACACAGACACAUCCUGGUGACCCUCCUCACGUCUCUUCUCCUUGUCUGCAGACCAACAGGACGCCACGUCAUCGGGACGCCUUCAGGACGCCGCGUCAGCCCCUCAGGAGCAAAUCCAGAUCUACUCAUGACACACCCACACACACACACACACACACACACAGAUGUACUCACAGACCCACUAACAUUUGGUUCUAAACAAAGACACACACUAACAGUUGGAUGUACACAAAGACACAUUAAUAUUUAGAUGUACACACAGACACACUAACAAUUAGAUGUACACACAGACACACUAACAAUUAGAUGUACACAGACACACUAACAAUUAGAUGUACACACAGACACAUCGUGAUGAUCCUCCUCACGUCUCUUCUCCUUGUCUGCAGACCAACAGGACGCUAUCAGGACGCCACGUCAUCGGGACGCCAUCAGGACGCCGCGUCAACCCCUCAGGAGGAAAUCCAGAUCUACUCAUGACACACACACACACACACACAGAUAUGUACUCAGAGACACGUUAACAUUUGGUUCUAAACAAAGACACACACUAAUAUUUAGAUGUACACAAAGACAUAUUCAUAUUUAGAUGUACACACAGACACACUAACAUUUGGUUCUAAACAAAGACACACACUAAUAUUUAGAUGUACACAAAGACACAAUAACAAUUAGAUGUACACACAGACACACUAACAAUUAGAUCUACACACAGACAGACUAACAAUUAGAUGUACACACGGACACACUAACAAUUAGAUGUACACACAGACACACUAACAAUUAGAUGUACACACAGACACAUCCUGAUGAUCCUCCUCACGUCUCUUCUCCUUGUCUGCAGACCAACAGGACGCCAUCAGGACGUCAUCGGGACACCAUCAGGAUUCCAUCAGGACGCCUUAAGGACGCCGCGUCAACCCCUCAGGAGCAAAUCAAGAUCUACUCAUGACACACACACACACCCACACACACACACACACACAGAUGUACUCAGAGACACACUAACAUUUAGACACGCUGGCAAAUUUAGACACACACAGACACACUAUUAUUUGGUUCUAAACAAAGACACACACUAAUAUUUAGAUGUACACAAAGACACACACU